AGUGAACGCUGGCGGUAGGCCUAACACAUGCAAGUCGAACGGCAGCACAGUAGAGCUUGCUCUUACGGGUGGCCGGUGGCGGGCGGGGGGGGAAUACCACCGAAUCUACUUUUUCGUUGGGGAUAACGGAGGGAAACUUACGCUAAUUCCGCCUUCGAACUACGGGUUAAAACAAGGGAUCCUCGGAACUUUCCCGGAUGAAUGAGCCGAUGUCGGAUUAGCCAGUUGGCGGGGUAAAGGCCCACCAAGGCGACGAUCCGUAGCUGGUCUGAGAGGAUGAUCAGCCACACUGGAACUGAGACACGGUCCAGACUCCUACGGGAGGCAGCAGUGGGGAAUAUUGGACAAUGGGCGCAAGCCUGAUCCAGCCAUACCGCGUGGGUGAAGAAGGCCUUCGGGUUGUAAAGCCCUUUUGUUGGGAAAGAAAAGCAGCAGGUUAAUACCCCGCUGUUCUGACGGUACCCAAAGAAUAAGCACCGGCUAACUUCGUG
RNAcentral lists this ribosomal RNA (491 nucleotides) under uncultured bacterium. RNAcentral's name for it is "partial 16S ribosomal RNA". It matches the Rfam family "Bacterial small subunit ribosomal RNA", at positions 29 to 507 of the family's 1533-position model. The record is from RNAcentral.